AACCCUAGCCACAAUUCCCUUUCCUCAGCCACCGCACCCCAUCUCCCACUCUGAGCUGCACCCUAUCUCCCGGUCCUAGCACUCUAGCAGUGAGGGAGGAGAGCAUGGUGGCCAUGGUUGGCAGCGCAUCGAGUAGAGUGGCCGGCCUCCUUAGCGAUGGUGGCGUGAAGGGUCGGCGGCUCGGCUAGGGCGGCGCGAGGGUUCACCAUUCCAAGCCUCGUCCACACCAUCUAUGAUGACAGGAUGAUGCUUGUAGCGCUGACGGCUCCCUCAGUGAUGGUUUUGCAGGUUCUGGAAGACGGAUCCGGCUGUGGUGAGGUGGCACCGGCGAGCACAGCCCAGAUCCACACGAGAGAAGGCCGGACCUGCGCUAGGAAGUUUCCAACUCGGCUCCUUCAUCCUUAAGGCCAUCACCAUCAAUGGCUCUGGCAAGAUCCAUGGCGCAUUCAUGGCUUUGAGGGCCCAGUGUUGCAGGUUGCGGGCGUGUGGAUGCUGCCCCAGUGGACGUGAAGAUUGUCCAGUGUGCUUCGGCAUGGCACCAUAGUCCAGGUCUUUGACUUCAUCUGCAACACCAGCACAAUCAGUAACUGCAAGUGAAGGGCUCCCGUUCAUUUCUGCAAGCCAUUUGGACUAGCUAUGCAUUUUUUUGAACAUGCACGCCAUGGAAAGUGGCAUGAAUAACGAGUUUGUCUGCAGCGACUGCAAGCUGUCUUCAGUGGCGCAGGGUGGCCACAGAAACGUGUCCAGCGGCUGCAAGCUGCCUUCAGUGCUGCAGGGUGACCACAGAAAUAGCUGGAACAAAUUAACUUGUUUAGUGAACAAAUAUAGCUAGUACUGUAUGUUAGUUUAUGGAGCCAUUUUGUAUGCCCAUUUAUGAUACAUAUAUGAAAUGUUAUGUUUGGAGCACCCAUUAUGUAUGGUCAUUAUUGUGUAAUUAGUAAUUGUUAUUAUAUUGUUUGUGACUGUUUUUUAAAUGGGUCAGCCCAGCUUUGAUUGUAACAAUAUUGGGCUUAAAGGAAGAAAA
Molecule: long non-coding RNA, 1024 nt
Organism: Sorghum bicolor (sorghum)
Lineage: Eukaryota; Viridiplantae; Streptophyta; Magnoliopsida; Poales; Poaceae
Exons: 2
Source: RefSeq, a predicted model, not a curated record